CAGGCUCAGGACGAACGUGGCGGCGUGCUUAACACAUGCAAGUCGAGCGGUAAGGCCUUUCGGGGUACACGAGCGGCGAACGGGUGAGUAACACGUGGGUGAUCUGCCCUGCACUUCGGGAUAAGCCUGGGAAACUGGGUCUAAUACCGGAUAUGACCUCCUAUCGCAUGGUGGGUGGUGGAAAGAUUUAUCGGUGCAGGAUGGGCCCGCGGCCUAUCAGCUUGUUGGUGGGGUAAUGGCCUACCAAGGCGACGACGGGUAGCCGACCUGAGAGGGUGACCGGCCACACUGGGACUGAGACACGGCCCAGACUCCUACGGGAGGCAGCAGUGGGGAAUAUUGCACAAUGGGCGAAAGCCUGAUGCAGCGACGCCGCGUGAGGGAUGACGGCCUUCGGGUUGUAAACCUCUUUCAGCAGGGACGAAGCGCAAGUGACGGUACU
RNAcentral lists this ribosomal RNA (442 nucleotides) under Rhodococcus sp. A21-63. RNAcentral's name for it is "bacterial SSU rRNA". It matches the Rfam family "Bacterial small subunit ribosomal RNA", at positions 19 to 479 of the family's 1533-position model. The record is from RNAcentral. Lineage: Bacteria; Bacillati; Actinomycetota; Actinomycetes; Mycobacteriales; Nocardiaceae.